Molecule: unclassified non-coding RNA, 389 nt
Filed under: uncultured fungus
Lineage: Eukaryota; Fungi
Description: sequence contains ITS1
Rfam family: 5.8S ribosomal RNA (bases 1-105)
Source: RNAcentral
AAAGUGCGAUAACUAGUGUGAAUUGCAGAAUUCUGUGAAUCAUCGAACUCUUGAACGCAUCCUGCGCCUUGAGGCUAUCCUCGAGGCACACUUGUUUGAGUGGUGACAAAAUUCUCCAUCCAAAGGUAGUACUACUUUUGUGGUACUCAUUUUGGGAUAAUGACAGUGUCGAGCUUACACUCAACUCUGUUUAAAAGUAUAGGCUGAAUCUUUGUACUUUCAGUAUGAGUUUUCCAAUUGGUUUGAGGAAUAUUACAUUCCAACCUUCCCUCUUGGUCUCAUACAUUCAAAUGAUUGUCUUUUUUCAGUUCAUAAGGAACACCAAGUGUUAGUUCGGCUAACGCCUCACUUUCACCCUCAAAUCAAGUGGGAUUACCCCCUGAAUUUAA